Molecule: non-coding RNA, 140 nt
Filed under: Neobacillus jeddahensis
Lineage: Bacteria; Bacillati; Bacillota; Bacilli; Caryophanales; Bacillaceae
Description: FMN riboswitch (RFN element)
Rfam family: FMN riboswitch aptamer (RFN element)
About the family: The RFN element is a highly conserved domain that is found frequently in the 5'-untranslated regions of prokaryotic mRNAs that encode for flavin mononucleotide (FMN) biosynthesis and transport proteins.
Source: RNAcentral
UUCCUUCGGGGUCAGGUGAAAUUCCUAACCGGCGGUGAUGAAGCUUUUGCUUCUUAGUCCGUGACCCGUGUAACAUAUUGUUACACGGUGGAUCUGGUGAAACUCCAGGGCCGACAGUUAAAGUCUGGAUGGGAGAAGGA